Long non-coding RNA from Artibeus jamaicensis (Jamaican fruit-eating bat), 263 nucleotides. RefSeq lists it as uncharacterized. The record is from RefSeq and is a predicted model, not a curated record. NCBI's taxonomy places the organism in Eukaryota, Metazoa, Chordata, Mammalia, Chiroptera, Phyllostomidae. The transcript is spliced from 3 exons.
CGGUACCUCCUGCCUCCUCAGUCCUCCUCCCACCAGCACCUCGUUAAUUUUGGCCACCCUUCCCUGCUUCAGCCUUGAAGAACUGAUCAAGCCUGUGGGUAACAAUUAAAAGGCACAUUCUUAAGGAUCUCACCUGUACUUUGCGAACAAAGGACGGAGCCACUCUUUUCUCGAAGUCAUCUAUAGGAGCACAUGUCCUUGCGCAGGAAGAGGCUGUUCAGGGUGACCGCCCCGAUCAAGAAGAAGAGCUGCUUCACGGCCUG